This 465-nucleotide ribosomal RNA is filed under the name uncultured Klebsiella sp. RNAcentral describes it as "bacterial SSU rRNA". It matches the Rfam family "Bacterial small subunit ribosomal RNA", at positions 338 to 795 of the family's 1533-position model. The record is from RNAcentral. Lineage: Bacteria; Pseudomonadati; Pseudomonadota; Gammaproteobacteria; Enterobacterales; Enterobacteriaceae.
CCUACGGGCGGCAGCAGUGGGGAAUAUUGCACAAUGGGCGCAAGCCUGAUGCAGCCAUGCCGCGUGUGUGAAGAAGGCCUUCGGGUUGUAAAGCACUUUCAGCGGGGAGGAAGGCGGUGAGGUUAAUAACCUCAUCGAUUGACGUUACCCGCAGAAGAAGCACCGGCUAACUCCGUGCCAGCAGCCGCGGUAAUACGGAGGGUGCAAGCGUUAAUCGGAAUUACUGGGCGUAAAGCGCACGCAGGCGGUCUGUCAAGUCGGAUGUGAAAUCCCCGGGCUCAACCUGGGAACUGCAUUCGAAACUUGCAGGCUAGAGUCUUGUAGAGGGGGGUAGAAUGCCAGGUGUAGCGGUGCAAUGCGUAGAGAUCUGGAGGAAUACCGGUGGCUGAGGCGGCCCCCUGGACAAAGACUGACGCUCAGGUGCGAAUGCGUGGGGAGCAAACAGGAUUAGAUACCCGGGUAGUC